This 791-nucleotide long non-coding RNA is filed under the name Helianthus annuus (common sunflower). RNAcentral describes it as "hypothetical non coding rna". The record is from RNAcentral. Lineage: Eukaryota; Viridiplantae; Streptophyta; Magnoliopsida; Asterales; Asteraceae.
AUGGGGACUACACAACUACGGUUUGAGGAUAUGAGUCGCAGAACGUUGGAGCUUGAGCUGACCCUAGCGCUCGGACCCUAAUUUUGCUCUUUUUAUGAUGAUCCUAAUUCUCAUAUGAUAUCACCACCGAUACUUACUGACACUAAUCCCAAGAGUGGUUAAGGGUUACUUAUGGUUGGAAAGGUAUGUAUGUUUGGGAUUCUAUUUGCAAGCUCCUUAUUGACUAAUAAUUUUUAUAAAAGAGUUUUUUUUUUUUUAUAAAAUGAUGUUUGGAUAAUGUGUUGAAAAAGAGUUUUGAUGCUUUGAAAAUGAGAAAAUGAGAAGUUGAUAAGUAAUCCCGAACACCCCUAAAAACUCGAAUAGAAAAAAAAUUAAUAAUAAGUUUCCACAUCGGAUCGACAACCGUCCAAAUGUCACAUGAUACGAACCUAAAUACACAAGAUUCCUUGGAUCUCUUAUACAUUUGACAAAGUAUGCUCACACGUGCACACAUAAUCCAACAAUAAUUAUUGUAUUUCAUUCAAUCAAACAGCUUCAUGCUAAAAAGAGUACUCAACUACCAAGUUUCUUUUGACACUAUUCAGAACAUUGCUUUUGCCUACCCUAUUUAAGAAACAGUCUGGCAGUGGAAACUUCUUUUUAUAACUAUAUACAUAAUUAUCAUGUUUUGAAACCGAGGGAUUGGAUGGGUCACUUUCAAAUGGUUCAAUCUCGCUACUCAUGAUAUAUAAAAACUGAGUGAAUGCCUGACCGCGGUAUAAGUAUUACAUUAAUGAAACAUCUUUUAUAUU